CCUACGGGCGGCUGCAGUGAGGAAUAUUGGUCAAUGGACGCGAGUCUGAACCAGCCAAGUAGCGUGAAGGAUGACUGCCCUACGGGUUGUAAACUUCUUUUAUAUGGGAAUAAAGUGAGGCACGUAUACCUUUUUGUAUGUACUAUAUGAAUAAGGAUCGGCUAACUCCGUGCCAGCAGCCGCGGUAAUACGGAGGAUCCGAGCGUUAUCCGGAUUUAUUGGGUUUAAAGGGAGCGUAGAUGGAUUCUUAAGUCAGUUGUGAAAGUUUGCGGCUCAACCGUAAAAUUGCAGUUGAUACUGGCAGCCUUGAGUGCAGUAGAGGUAGGCGGAAUUCGUGGUGUAGCGGUGAAAUGCUUAGAUAUCACGAAGAACUCCGAUUGCGAAGGCAGCUUACUAAACUGUAACUGACGCUGAUGCUCGAAAGUGUGGGUAUCAAACAGGAUUAGAUACCCUAGUAGUC
This 460-nucleotide ribosomal RNA is filed under the name uncultured bacterium. RNAcentral's name for it is "partial 16S ribosomal RNA". It matches the Rfam family "Bacterial small subunit ribosomal RNA", at positions 338 to 795 of the family's 1533-position model. The record is from RNAcentral.